RNAcentral lists this ribosomal RNA (497 nucleotides) under uncultured bacterium. RNAcentral describes it as "partial 16S ribosomal RNA". It matches the Rfam family "Bacterial small subunit ribosomal RNA", at positions 28 to 507 of the family's 1533-position model. The record is from RNAcentral.
GAUGAACGCUGGCGGCGUGCCUAAUACAUGCAAGUCGAGCGAACAGAUGAGGAGCUUGCUCCUCUGACGUUAGCGGCGGACGGGUGAGUAACACGUGGAUAACCUACCUAUAAGACUGGGAUAACUUCGGGAAACCGGAGCUAAUACCGGAUAAUAUAUUGAACCGCAUGGUUCAAUAGUGAAAGACGGUUUUGCUGUCACUUAUAGAUGGAUCCGCGCCGCAUUAGCUAGUUGGUAAAGUAACGGCUUACCUAGGCAACGAUGCGUAGCCGACCUGAGAGGGUGAUCGGCCACCCUGGAACUGAGACACGGUCCAGACUCCUACGGGAGGCAGCAGUAGGGAAUCUUCCGCAAUGGGCGAAAGCCUGACGGAGCAACGCCGCGUGAGUGAUGAAGGUCUUCGGAUCGUAAAACUCUGUUAUUAGGGAAGAACAAAUGUGUAAGUAACUAUGCACGUCUUGACGGUACCUAAUCAGAAAGCCACGGCUAACUACGUG